GACGAACGCUGGCGGCGUGCCUAAUACAUGCAAGUCGAACGCACUCUCGUUUAGAUUGAAGGAGCUUGCUCCUGAUUGAUAAACAUUUGAGUGAGUGGCGGACGGGUGAGUAACACGUGGGUAACCUGCCCUAAAGUGGGGGAUAACAUUUGGAAACAGAUGCUAAUACCGCAUAAAACCUAAACACCGCAUGGUGUAGGGUUGAAAGAUGGUUUCGGCUACCACUUUAGGAUGGACCCGCGGUGCAUUAGUUAGUUGGUGAGGUAAAGGCUCACCAAGACCGUGAUGCAUAGCCGACCUGAGAGGGUAAUCGGCCACACUGGGACUGAGACACGGCCCAGACUCCUACGGGAGCAGCAGUAGGGAAUCUUCCACAAUGGACGAAAGUCUGAUGGAGCAACGCCGCGUGAGUGAAGAAGGUUUCGGAUCGUAAAACUCUGUUGUUGGAGAAGAAUGUAUCUGAUAGUAACUGAUCAGGUAGUGACGGUAUCCAACCAGAAAG
This 502-nucleotide ribosomal RNA is filed under the name uncultured bacterium. Its description in RNAcentral is "bacterial SSU rRNA". It matches the Rfam family "Bacterial small subunit ribosomal RNA", at positions 28 to 490 of the family's 1533-position model. The record is from RNAcentral.